This 93-nucleotide small nucleolar RNA is filed under the name Carlito syrichta (Philippine tarsier). RNAcentral's name for it is "Small nucleolar RNA SNORA14 (ENSTSYG00000025255.2)". The stretch from base 21 to 93 matches the Rfam family "Small nucleolar RNA SNORA14", at positions 63 to 135 of the family's 135-position model. Rfam says of the family: ACA14 is a member of the H/ACA class of snoRNA that guide the sites of modification of uridines to pseudouridines. The record is from Rfam by way of RNAcentral. Lineage: Eukaryota; Metazoa; Chordata; Mammalia; Primates; Tarsiidae.
AACUCUAACUCAAAAAGAAAAAAAAAAUUGCAGAGGCAGUCCAAAGGGUGUGCUUCUCCUGUGGCUCAGUCUUAUUCCAUAGCCGUGACAUCU